GACAGAGGGUGCAAACGUUGUUCGGAAUUACUGGGCGUAAAGCGCACGUAGGCGGACAUUUAAGUCAGGGGUGAAAUCCCAGAGCUCAACUCUGGAACUGCCUUUGAUACUGGGUGUCUUGAGUAUGGAAGAGGUGAGUGGAAUUCCGAGUGUAGAGGUGAAAUUCGUAGAUAUUCGGAGGAACACCAGUGGCGAAGGCGGCUCACUGGUCCAUUACUGACGCUGAGGUGCGAAAGCGUGGGGAGCAAACAGG
This 253-nucleotide ribosomal RNA is filed under the name uncultured bacterium. Its description in RNAcentral is "partial 16S ribosomal RNA". It matches the Rfam family "Bacterial small subunit ribosomal RNA", at positions 524 to 776 of the family's 1533-position model. The record is from RNAcentral.